GAUGAACGCUGGCGGCGUGCCUAAUACAUGCAAGUCGAGCGAACAGACGAGGAGCUUGCUCCUCUGACGUUAGCGGCGGACGGGUGAGUAACACGUGGAUAACCUACCUAUAAGACUGGGAUAACUUCGGGAAACCGGAGCUAAUACCGGAUAAUAUAUUGAACCGCAUGGUUCAAUAGUGAAAGACGGUUUUGCUGUCACUUAUAGAUGGAUCCGCGCCGCAUUAGCUAGUUGGUAAGGUAACGGCUUACCAAGGCAACGAUGCGUAGCCGACCUGAGAGGGUGAUCGGCCACACUGGAACUGAGACACGGUCCAGACUCCUACGGGAGGCAGCAGUAGGGAAUCUUCCGCAAUGGGCGAAAGCCUGACGGAGCAACGCCGCGUGAGUGAUGAAGGUCUUCGGAUCGUAAAACUCUGUUAUUAGGGAAGAACCAAUGUGUAAGUAACUAUGCACGUCUUGACGGUACCUAAUCAGAAAGCCACGGCUAACUACGUG
RNAcentral lists this ribosomal RNA (497 nucleotides) under uncultured bacterium. RNAcentral describes it as "partial 16S ribosomal RNA". It matches the Rfam family "Bacterial small subunit ribosomal RNA", at positions 28 to 507 of the family's 1533-position model. The record is from RNAcentral.